GCAGCUGCCGAGUCACCUGCCAAACACUUUUAAGUGAUUUUCCUGUGCAGAUCAGCCUGUUUGCACGCCCCGAAACAUCUUGAUAGGGACCUCAGAUCAAAAUCCUUCCUUCAUCAAAGUUCUUCAUAUAUGUCUUUUCUAUCUGACUUCAAAAUUUCAGCCCUGUUGAAGUCGUUUUAAGACAUGUACACCAUUCAAAGUGGGAGCUAUUCAGUAUGAUCGUUCCUGUGCAGAUCAACCUGCUUGCACGCCGAUAAACGUCCUUUUCGGGACAUCUAAUCAAAAUCAUUUCUUCAUCAAAGUUGUUAAUCUCUGUCUCUUAUAUCUUAUCUCCAAAUUUCAGCCCUGUUGGAGCAGUUUUGAGACCUGUAUAACAUUUGAAGUGCGAUCUGUUCAGAAGCAAAUUUGCUCCGAAUUUCAACAAGAUGUCGAAUGAACCUAGACUCGAUUUUCCAAUGCUUGACUCAACAGGCUCGGAAUACCAUGGCUGGGUAACCAACGUUGAGAACCAUCUCACUACGAGAGGGAUAUUGCCCAUAAUACAGGCACCUAACCAGGGCCUUGUGUUCCAACGAACACCCACAAAGCAUGCUGCUCAAGUAAUUAUCUUGAUGUGAUACCAUAUGGAUCAAUUGAAGCAUUGGUUCAAGCAAUGCCAUGCAAGUACCCAACUAGCUGCAAGCUACAAGGAGUAUAGGCAAUUGAGAGAGCAAGAAAUCAAUCUUGCUGAAGAUGAAGAUAUCAAUCUUGCUGAAGAUGAAGAUGGUGAAGAUAUCACUCUCACCACUGAGGACUUCAAAGUUGUAAAGAGCACGAGGAUGCCGCAGACUUUGAUUAGAAUAGUCCUUUUCUAUUUUCCAAUAAAACGGCAAAUGUGCCUUAGUCAACAAAUGACAAUUGUAUUGACUCUUUCUCAUGUGGCGUACCCAAUGAAGUAUGAUGUCUAGGAAAGUAAUUGAGAUCGGGGUAUUUAAGCGAGCCUCGCUCCACCAACAUCUCUCUACUUCCCUGGUCAUAUUUCAUUGGAAUUACCAAACGGAUUGGCAAUUACAAUUUGUAUAAGUUUGAUUUUAUUUUGGAAUAGAUUUUGGAAACUUUGAUGUAA
Molecule: long non-coding RNA, 1105 nt
Organism: Rosa rugosa (rugosa rose)
Lineage: Eukaryota; Viridiplantae; Streptophyta; Magnoliopsida; Rosales; Rosaceae
Exons: 2
Source: RefSeq, a predicted model, not a curated record